GCAUGGGAUUGGAUCCAUGGCAGGCCCGUGCCCCGGGCGUGUCAUCGUGCCCCGUGCCACAGCGAACCGUGGCCUCGAAGCACGGGCAGGCCUCUGCCCGUAGGCUGCAGACACGGAAACGGCUCACACCGUG
Small nucleolar RNA from Artibeus jamaicensis (Jamaican fruit-eating bat), 133 nucleotides. RefSeq annotates it as small nucleolar RNA SNORA42/SNORA80 family. Lineage: Eukaryota; Metazoa; Chordata; Mammalia; Chiroptera; Phyllostomidae. The record is from RefSeq and is a predicted model, not a curated record. The transcript has a single exon.